Molecule: ribosomal RNA, 433 nt
Filed under: uncultured bacterium
Lineage: Bacteria
Description: partial 16S ribosomal RNA
Rfam family: Bacterial small subunit ribosomal RNA
Source: RNAcentral
GACGAACGCUGGCGGCAGGCCUAACACAUGCAAGUCGAGCGCACCCUUCGGGGUUAGCGGCGGACGUGUGAGUAACGCGUGGGAACGUGCCCUUCUCUGCGGAAUAGCCUCGGGAAACUUAGAGUAAUACCGCAUACGCCCUUUGGGGGAAAGAUUUAUCGGAGCAGGCUCGGGCCGCGUUGGAUUAGGUAGUUGGUGGUGUAAUGGCCCACCAAGCCGACGAUCCAUAGCUGGUUUGAGAGGAUGAUCAGCCACACUGGGAAUGAGACACGGCCCAGACUCCUACGCGAGGCAGCAGUGGGGAAUCUUAGACACUGGGGGCAACCCUGAUCUAGCCAUGCCGCGUGAGUGAUGAAGGCCUUAGGGUUGUAAAGCUCUUUCAGCUGGGAAGAUAAUGACGGUACCAGCAGAAGAAGCCCCGGCUAACUCCGUG